This 1306-nucleotide long non-coding RNA is filed under the name Olea europaea subsp. europaea. The record is from RNAcentral. Lineage: Eukaryota; Viridiplantae; Streptophyta; Magnoliopsida; Lamiales; Oleaceae.
GACAUAUCAAUCACUAUACACACCCCACCACAAAUCACGCCCAAAAAUCCCCAACCUUUAUCCUCUCCAUUGCAGCAGCGAUCAAGAAGAAAUCAAGAAUUGAUUCCAAGAAAUCUUCUUUCAUUGCAAAUCGACUACAUAAUCUCAUCCUGUGAUUUUCUCCAUAUAUUAUGUCCGAAAAUCCAUUUUUUAAAUCGUAAUUUUUGAAAUUCUAGAAUUGCAGACUCAAAGGGCAGGGGCAAACAGAUCUUGAAAUCGAACAUUCCCCAUUAUAGUGUCAUGAUGCAAUAGAAUUUGUCCUAACUUACAUGUCUCUAAGGAGUAUAUGAUGAGGGAGCUCUGUUUCUACCGUUUAACUUUUCUUGUUUGCUUCUUGGAGGAAUAGAAGUAAAGUACUCACCAAUAUGUAAAUUUUAACAAGAUUAAAGUGCUGCUCGUUAGAUGUUUUCUGUUCAUAUCGUGUAAAUAUUUCCAGAAAGUUCCUUACAAAAUGAUGUAUUGAACUUUAGUUUUCCAGCUUAGUUGGCGUUCCUUCUGUAAGCUUUUUAAUAAGCUGUUUAAAAUGUAAAUAAUUUAAGAUAAUUUCUUUGGCUGUGAUCAGGAAUCUCAGUGGUUGUUUUUCCUUGACAUUAUGAUCAAUUAUGUAAAAUUUAUGUUCAAAACUUGUAUAUCUCCUCUUUUGUUAAAAUUCUUUUGAUUUUACGAAUGGAUUAUAAGAAAUGUUCAGUAGCCUAAUGCAAAAAGGAACGGGAUGUAUAUGCUUCUAUUUAUCAGUGUAUUUGAUAUAUUUUAAUCUUCAUUUCAUGGUAACACAGAUUAGAAGUUAUAUCACAUUUAAAUUCUAUUCAAAUAUCUUCAAAUUUCUAUACUCAUUUUGCUUCACAAAUUAAUUGUUGCAGCACCUAACAUGUUAUAUUUCACAUUGAUGUAGCCUCAAUUGUGAUCUUUACGUGAUUAAGUUUUGCAUGAUACAUUAUAAAUCAGAAGAUUGAUGUCAGGGCAGAAAUUUUGAUGCGAACAUCUCGAGGUCACACUUGGCACCUUAACUAUUCAAGCACGGAGGUGACAAUCAGAUUGAAGGUUAUGAGAUGGAGAUCGAACUUGUACCAUAGAGUGCGAGGAGGGAGAGGAAUUUAAAGGGUUUGCUUAUUUCAUGACAAUCGUUAGUUUCUGUUAGCUUAUUUUGAUUAGUAAUUGAAUUGUACUAUCAUCACUGAACGGUAUGUUAGAUUACAUUAUGUAGUACAGUAGCUUCGUUUUUGUGUUAUAGAUCACAUCUCGAAUCCUUUUCUUGCAGUGCUUUGAC